AUCGCCUUGGCAAAUACCUUCCUGAGUUCAGCCUGGGCAGAAGGCGACCCAUAAUCCCUCCUCCCCAGCCCUACACUGCCUUCCAGCCUUGGCCCAGACAGCGAGACAAGCACUUUCUCUCUGUUUUCGUGAUGCUUCUAGCGGCACAGUCAGCCUGGGGGCUCUGCCAGCUCAGGAGCCACGAGCCCAGACUCUGAGGGAUUUGGUUUGAUGUUUUUAGAUAUCAAAGGAAGUUCUCCAGGAACCCUGCAACUAAAGACUUUAAUGAGGACCAUGCCCAAGAAAUCCUGGCUGCCAAAUACAUGAUGAUGAUUUAUGUCGCUCACUCACUCCCUAACAGCAAGAGGACUAUUUGUAAAAAUAAAAAAGCUGCU
Molecule: long non-coding RNA, 374 nt
Filed under: Homo sapiens (human)
Lineage: Eukaryota; Metazoa; Chordata; Mammalia; Primates; Hominidae
Description: HSALNT0190616
Source: RNAcentral